This is a long non-coding RNA of Antechinus flavipes (yellow-footed antechinus), 12740 nucleotides long. RefSeq lists it as uncharacterized. The transcript has 4 exons. The record is from RefSeq and is a predicted model, not a curated record. NCBI's taxonomy places the organism in Eukaryota, Metazoa, Chordata, Mammalia, Dasyuromorphia, Dasyuridae.
GGGGCUGGGUGGGGGAGGAGCUGGAUGGCGUGGUAAGAGCGGUCACGUGACAACCCUUCUGGACUCAUAGCUGGGAAAGUGACGUCUUCCUUACUUCAGUUCUGCAUCCUUCACUCUGUAGAUGCAAGUCGGACAUGGGAGACAGCAGUGAAAGGCUUUGAAACUCAGUGCAUCAGCACCCAGAAGCCUCUUUCUGGCUAUCAAAGAAGAAAGCUGAUCAAAAGGAAAAAUAGAGGAUGUCCCCCACCCAUAGCACAUCCUAAAGUAGGCCAUGAAAUCCUUUCCAUGCAGAGAACAAGUGACUCCAGAAAAGGCUUCUCCUAAUUACCUACUCAGAAAGAAAAACAUGGGCCAGCUCAGUCCUAGAAUCAGUGCUUUCUGGAUGUGGGCUUAGCUCUUCUAUGGGUCUACACAGUGCUCAGCUAGUGCUCUGGAAGAUCCACAUUCUACGCCCUGGAACCUUUAAUGGGAUCAGUUAAAAAUAAAAACUAACUAACAUUGAUGCUUUUUGAUUUUCUACCACAGUUAUUUCUGAGUACACAGCCUUUUCUCUAUCUCCUGAAAACUGAACCUUCUCUGGUAACAAGGAAAAACAAUUGAGGAAAACCAACCAAUGUAGUAGUUGUAUCUGACAAUUUAUUUAAUAUUCUGCACUCAAAGUCCUCCACCUAUCCACCAAAAGGGGAAUGGUCUUUACAAUUACUCAGUUCAACUUCAUUUUAGUAUUAUUUUCCUUUACAUUAUUGUAAUCCAUCACUACAUCAAUUCCUAAAUUUAAUAUUUUUUCCCCAGUACUACAUUAAAAAACAAAACAAAACACUUUUUAAUAUUUGUUUUUAGUUCCACAUUUUCUCCCCUCCUCCCUCCACAUCCUACCUGGCAUUUAGAAUAACAAAAAUUUGUUGUAUGUCAAAUCUUACAAGUCAUCUCAUGUUUCUUUGAAUUCCUCCUAUUCACUAUUUCUUGCAAUGCAAUCAGAUCACAACCAUGACAUCGAUGCAAAUGCCUAGCAGUCAUGAUAUAACAGAAGAUGGAGAAAUAUUAUCUAACAGAAACAAUAAUAUAACACCUUCAGAGAUGCCUUGCCUGACCCAGUGCCCAGCAGAAGGUCUGGCACCUUGGUCACAGAAUCACAGACUCUUAGUAGGGAAGAAACUUCACAAUCCAUCACAUAGUCCAACUCCUACUUCGACAGAAAUCUUUUGUAUCUCUGGCAAAUGUUAAUCCAUCCUCUGAAGGCCUCCAGUGAUAAGCAUCCUAAUUUUUCCCCAUGAGCCCAGUCCAUUUUUGAGAUGUCUAAUUGCUAAGAAGUGUUUACUUUAGUAAUAAGAGAUUCCUUACAGUGAAGAGAUUCCUUUCAUUGUCCCUAGUUCAUUUAGACAUUCAACAAAUAAUUAUUAAGUCUGCCACAUGACAGAUACCGGAAAGGCAAAGACGGAAAAAAAAACCCUAAACUGUCUCUAUCCGUAGGGAAUUUAUAUUUUAUUGGGAUAAACAACACUUAUGUAAAAAAUUAAAAUUAAAAUAUACAAAGUAUUUUUUUCUUGAGAGGGCAGGAGGUAUAGAGGGAACCAGCAAUGGAAGAUCCAGAUAGGCAGUCUGUAAGAAGGGAUGCUUAAACUGAACUCUAAAGAAAGCUAAAGAUUUUAUGAGGAGCAGUAAGGAAGAAAUGCAUUCCAGGUCUGAGAAACAACCUAUGUAAAAGCAGUGGAGAUGAUGAUAGAAUGGGACAAAUUAAAAAACAAAUAGCCUGGUUAUAAUCAUAGUUAAAGCUUGAUGGAACUAAAUUGUAUUGGGCUGAGGUUCGAGUUGAUGCACUGAGAUCCCAAGCACGUGAGGCUAAAUAGUAAUUGGACCAUACUCUAUUAAUAUAUAUGCAAGACUGCUGGCUGGUGUCUUAUCACAGCUGCUCACAUUGCUAAUCCCCCUUCAUCUCUGAUCCCCCUUCACCUCCGAUUGCCCUUCACCUUCGAUCCUUCUUCACCCGUACUAAGAAUAAAGAUCGAUGAUUUUCCCCUAACCUGAAUUCCUGACUCUGGCUGAUUUUAAAAUACGCAGUCAUCACACUAAAUGAAUCACUACACCAAAGUGAAAGAUCAAGCUAUGAGGUAAAUUACUUGCUAGUAUUUUUUUUUGCAUGGUACACCAACACAGUGGCUACUCAUACUACUAUCUUAAAAGAUUCACAGCUAUGAGCCUGACUCCUAAAGAAUCCUGUUCUUUUUAGUGUUCAUGAAACCUCCAUUAAUAGAGAGAAAAACACUAGAAAAGAGAUCAGUAAGAAGAGAUUAUUGCAAGCAUCUGGAAGGAAAGUGAUGAGGAUCUGAACUAUGGUGGUAACUGUGUGAGUAGAGGGAAGGGCACAGAUGUAGGAUAUAUUAUGAAGACAGAAUUAUUAAGAAUAUGCUAUUGAGUGAUUAUGGUGGGUAAGGUAGAGGAAAGAGUCAUAAUUCAAGGUUGCACACCCAAGGGAAUUGGAAGGAUGGUGAUAUCCUCAACAGAAAUAGAGAAGUUAGGAAGAGAAGGAGGUUUAGAAGAGAGGAUGGGGAAGAUAAUUAUGCCCUUUCAGUCCAAGGAGAAUGAGUUUAAUUUCUCUUCCAUCUCUAGAUUUCAAAUCAUAUAUCAGAUAUGCAAACACCCUAAGAUAUAAAAGUAGCCCAAACAUCUUCAAUUCUUCUAUCAGUACUCAUGGAAUCAUCUUCAUUCCACUUACCACCACAGGUUUUUCUCCCUAGGAUGUGUUCUAAGUUUACAAAAUUGUUUGUAAAAAUGCAGUACCCAGAACUAAACAUAAUACUCUAAAUAUACACUAUAGGACUAUCAGCUCCUUUGUUCUGAUCAUUUGGCCUCCUUUAAGGCAGCCUAAGAAUGCAUUCACUUUGUUUGCUGAAAGACUGCAUUGGAUGGGCAGGUGAAGAUGAACUGUCAUCUAUAUCCUUGGAGGGAACUCCCAAUUAGUCCACUUGAGUAUCAGAGUAUGUUGCACUGUUGAUUCAUAUUGAGCUUCCAAUCUACUAUGAUUCCCAGGAUACUUUGAAGAGGAUUGAUUUCCAAACAUAGCACCUUUAUCCUAUGCCUAUAUAGCUAAUUUCUUGAACUCAAAUGUAAGAUUUUAUAUAUAUGCCUAUAUUAAAUUUGAGCUUGUCAGAUUUGACUCAUAAUUUGAGCCUACUGAGAUCUUUCCAGAUCUUGACUCUGGAGUCUUUUAAAAAAAUUUUUUUCUGACUCUGGAUUCUAAUGCUAGUUAUCCCUGUGAUCUUAAUGUCAUCUAUCCUUCUAAAACUUUGCAUCUCUUUGAAGCCAGAAUCAAAUCAGUAUCCUUGGAAUCCCCACAGACUGAGGUCUAUUUCACCAUAUGACUUAUUAAACACAACUCAGAGAAAGUGAAGUAGGCCUUCAUUUUCCUUCCAGCUGACAUACUCCCUUUCCAUAAAGAAUGCAUAAAAGUAAAUGUGGCUUUACUCCUUCAUAUUUCUCCAGUUAGAGGUGGAAGGUGGCCAGAGCCAAGAUGGCAGAGAAUAAAACAUUUCCUGAGCUCUCCCUAGCUUCCCUCAGAAUCAAAGCUAGAUCAAGCUCUGAACAGAUUUUGGAGGAUAGAACCCACAAACAUUCAUAGUAUAAUAAUUUUCCAGCUUAAGAUAUUUUGGAAGGACUUCAGGAAAAGUCUGUCUCAUUGGACAGAGAGGAACACGGCCCAUUGCAGUUGCAACAAAGAAAUACCCUGUGCAGGGAGGCUCUUAGCCAAAAUACAGCAGCAGUGGUUACUCUGUCCUGGUUCAGAAGGCCAGUGGAUCAGCAACCCUGCUGUGAGAUCUCCAGCACAACUACAGAAAGCAAAUUGGGAGCCUUCAAAUCCCAGCAUAACAGGCGAGACUUGGCCAGACCCAUCCAGUGCAGUGGGAGAGCUUGCAGGACCACCACCAACCUUGCCUAGGCAGUGAGAGGCCCCUAUCCUCAUGUAAAAGAACUGGGUUAAUUUCCCCUAUGCCUUAGGAGCAGAGUUCAGUGUUUAAAAAUGAGCAAAAAAGCAAAAUGAACCCUGACCAUAAAAAGCUACAAUGGAGAUAGGGAAGACCAGAACACAAACCCAGAAGACAGCAAAGACAAAAUGCUUUCAGGUGAAACCUCCAAGGAGGAUAUGAACUGGGCUCCAGCACAAAAGGCUUUCUUAGAAGAGUUCAAAAUGGAUCUUAAAAGAGAGAGGAAAAAAUGAGUCCUCUACAGGAGAAGAAUGAAAAGUUGGGGAAAAGAGUCAACGGCUUAGAAAAGGAGACAAAGAAAUUGGCUGUUAGAAAUUACCUAAGUGUGAAGGGGCAGGUCAAUUCUCCAAAAGCCCCACAGCUGGAACUCAUAACACACUUGAAGUAAUUGCAAAUCAGCCUUUACUGACACAGAUAUUGCUUGUGAAUUGGGAAUGAAAUAAAUUGGAGGCAAGAGAGAAGAGGAGAGAGAUCAGACAAUGCAACUCCUUUCAGUCUCCUUGUAUCAUCAUUAUUCUCUCACAUGAAGGGAUAUAUUCUGGUGGUUAGAAUUAGAUCCCUAGCAGCCACUACCAGGUGGCUCCUGUAACACGCAGCAGUCAUUAGCAGUUGCUCCUGUAACAACUGGCUGAAGAAAACAAUUCCUUAAAUAAUAAAUUUGGUGAAAUGGAAAAAACAUAUACUUAAGAAAACAACUUAUUAAAGAUUAAAUUUAGUGAAAUGAAAAGAGAAAACUCCUUGGAAAACAGAAUUGGCAAAAUGGGAAAAAAUCCAUUGAAUGAAACAAGUACAACUGGCCAAAUGCCAAAGGAGUUAAAUUGGUCAAACAAUACCAAAAAAAAAAAAAAAAAAAAAAAGAAAAGAAAAGAAAAAGGAAGAAAACAGUUGACCUAGAAAAUAGAUCCAAAAAGACAAAUCUAAGAAUUAUUGAACUACCUGAAAACCUAAAUGAAAAAAAGAGCCUGGACAACAAUUUUAAAGAAAUAAUCAAAGAAAACUGUCCUGAUAUCCUAGAACCAAAGAAUAAAAUAGUAUUGAAAGAAUUCACUGAUCACUUCUUAAAAGUGACCCCAAAAUAAAAACUCCAAGGAAUAUUGUAGGUAAAUUCCAGAUCAAGGAGAGAUAAAGGAGACCAAUCAAGGAGAGAAUACUGCAAACAGCCAGGAAAAAAAACCAAACAAUUCAAAUAUCAAGAAGCCACAAUUAAGAUUACCCAGGAUCUAGAAGCUUGCACUUUCAAGGAUCAAAGGGUUUGGAAUAUGAUAAUCUGGAAGACAAAAAAGUUUGGACUAUAAGCAAGAAUCAACUACUCACCAUUAUCUUUCAGGGGAAAAGAUGAACAUUCAAUGAAAUAGGGGAUUUUCAAUUAUUUUUAAUGAAAAGAUCAGAGCUGAAAAGAAAAUUUGAUCUUUUGAUACAAGACUCAAGAGAAGCAUUAAAAAGGUAAAAAGGGAAGAAAAAACUUUUUAAAAGUUAAAAUAUUUACAUCUUUAUAUGGGAAGAUAUGUGUAACUUGAAAACUGUAUCUUUGUCAGGGCAGUUAGAAGAGGUAUACUUGGAGGGUAUAGGUAUAAUUUGACUUUAAUGAUAUAAGAAAAUAUAUAGAAGUGGAAAAGGGAUUGUACUGGGAGAAGAGAAAAGAGGAGGUAAAAUGUGAUAAAUUGCAAGUACAAAAGGGGUAUAAAAAUAUUAAAAUUGAGGGAAAGAAGGCAGUGGGAAGAGCAUUAUUUGAACAUUAAUUUCAUCAGAUUUGACUCAAAGAAGGAAUAACAUAUACAUAUUUAAUUUGAUAUAUAGAAAUUUUUCUCACCCUAAAGGGAAGCUAGGGAAAGGGGAAAGGAAAGAGAGAGGCUAAUGAAAGGGCAGAAGUACAAGGGGAAAGGGACAGGUAAGGUAGAGAGGCUGAAAAAAGAGAAGGUAGAUUGAGGGAGAUGCUGGUCAAAAAGAAAACACUAGUGAGGAGGGAAAAGGUGAAAGAAGAAAAGUAUAAUUUGGGAAAAAUAAGAUGGUGGAAAAUGUACCAUAGAUAAUAAAGUAAUAUCAAUAUUAAAUAUAUGCAUCAAGUGGUAUAAUAUUCAGAUUCUUAGAAGAGAAGUUAGAUGAGUUGUAAGAAAAAAUAGACAGCAAAACUAUACUAGUGGGGGAUUUCAACUUCCCUCUAUCAGAACUAGAUAAAUCUAACCACAAAAUAAACAAUAAAUAACUCCUUUAAUAUAAUUUUAGAAAAAUUAGAUAUGAUAGACCUUUGGAGAAAAAUGAAGGGGUAUAGAAAGGAAUAUACUUUUUUCUCAGCAGCAUAUGGCUUCUACUCCAUGGCAUGUGAUGGCAUAAAAUCUUUACAAUCAAAUGCAGAAAAACAGAAAUAGUAAGUGCAUCCUUUUCAGAUCAUGAUGCAAUAAAAAUUACAUUCAAUAAAGAGCCAGGGAAAGACAGAUUAGUUAAUUGCUUUUUAUUCUAAUUCUAAAGAAUGAGUGGGUGAAACAACAAAUCGUAGAAAUAAUUGAUAAUUUCUUUCAAGAGAAUGACAAUAAUGAGACAACAUACCAAAACUUAAUACAAUUCUUAGGAGAAAUUUUAUAUCUCUUGAUGCUUACAUGAAUAAAAUAGAGUGAGAAGGUCAGUGAAUCGGGCAUACAACUAAAAAAAAUCUAGAAAAACAAAUCAGAAACCUCCAAUUAAUUACCAAAUUAGAAAUUUCAAAAGUCAAAGGAGAGAUCAAUAGUUUAUUGAACUAAUAAACAAAACUAAGUGCUGGUUUUGUGAAAAAGCCAACAAAAUAGAGAAACUUUUGGUUAAUUUGAUUAGAAAAAGGAAAGAAGAAAACCAAAUUACCAGUAUCAAAAGUGAAAAGGAUGAAUUUACUACCAAUGAAGAGGAAAUUAAAGUAAUAAUACAAAGAAGCUAUUUUGCCCGAUUGUAUGCCAAUAAAUCUGAUAAGCUAAGGGUAAUUAAUAAAUACUUUUAAAAAUAUAGAUUGCCCAGAUUAACAGAUGAAGAAAUAAAUGACUUAAAUUGUCCCAUUUUAGAAAAAAGAAAUCAAAUAAGUCAUUAUUGAACUCCCUAAGAGAAAAUAAAUCUUUACAGUCAAAUGGAUUUACGAAUGAAUUCUAUCAAACAUUUAAAGAACAAUUAAUUCCAAUACUAUAAAAAUUAUUUGAAAAAUAGGAAAAGAAGACGUGCUACCAAAUGCCUUUUAUGACACAGAUAUGGUAGUGAUAACUAAACCAGGAAGGACUAAAACAGAGAAAGAAAAUUAUAGAUUUAAUUUCCUUAAUGAAUAUUGAUGCAAAAAUCUUAAAUAAAAUAUUAGGCAAAGAGAUUACAGCAAUUUAUCACCAGGAAAAUAUACUAUGACCAAAUAGGAUUUAUACCAGGACUAAAGAAUUGAUUCAAUAUCAGAAAACUUUUAUCAUAAUUGACCAUAUCAAUAACCAAAUUAACAGAAAUCAUAUCUCAAUAGAUGCAGAAAAAGCAUUUGCUAAAAUACUAAUUCCUAUUUAAAACACUGGAGAGCAUAGGAAUAAAUGGAAUUUUCUUUAAAAUUAUAAGUAGCAUCUAUUUAAAACCAUCAGCAAGCAUAUGUAAUGGGAUAAACUAGAAGCAUUCCCAAUAAAAUUAGGAAUGAAACAAGGUUGCCCAUUAUUACUAAUAAUAUUCAAUAGUGUACUUAAAAUGUUAGCUUUAACGAUAAAAGAAGAAAAAGAAAUGGAAGGAAUGAGGAUAAUGAGGAAACUAAAUCAUUCAUUCUUUGCAGAUGAUGGUUUACUUAAGAGAAUCCCAGAGAUUCAACUAAAAAACUACCAGAAACUUUGAACAACUUGCAUUUCAUAAUGUUCUUCAAUUUUUUGGCUAUAAAUUCCUUCCUUCUCCAGAGAUCUGGGAAGCAGACUAUCCCUUGUUCUUCUAAUUUGCUUAUAGUAUCACCUUUUAUUUCUAAAAUAUGAACCCAUUUAGACUUUAUCUUUGUAUAGUGUAUCUAUAUCACUAUAGUAAUCUAAUUUUUCAUAAACUCCAAGGCUCCAGCUUUUGGGAUAAGAAGUUACUGUCUGAGAAAGAUUGCUGGGAAAACUGCAAAGUAGGAUGGAACGAAUUAGGCAAUGAGUAAUACUUAAUAUCCUACACACUAGAUAGAUGUUUUAUGGCAGAGUUCUAACAUCUUGUUAAGUAACCCUGAUAGAGAUAUGACGAAACUCAUGGACACCACUUUGUCUUUGUAGGCUAAAAGUGGAAUGUGGGAUAAUGAAAAAAUUUGGAAAUGAUACCCCAUAAUGCCAGACAUUUUGGUAAAUGUAUUUCCCAUGUGUUACUGUCUAAUAGAAGUUUUGAUUACCAAAUCAAUAGCAAUGUGCCAGGGAGAGCAAAAUUUUCUGUGCUAUAAAUAUUAUGCUUAUAUAAAAACUAAUAUUUUCAAAGUGAGCCUCAUUGUAUAUUUGUUGAAACUCCAAAAGUUAUUAAUACUUUGAGUGCUACUAGUCUUGACUUUUCCUUACACAGUCAAAAUGCAAUCAUACUGAAGCAGCUUAUAUAUAUAUAUACACACACAUAUACAUGUGUGUGUAUUUAUAUAUGUAACAGAGAAGAAUAUAGCUCUGCAGGUUCAGAUGGUAUACCCCAUCAACUUGCAAAUAAUUAAAGCUAGAUGGUAAUUCAGAGAUCACCUAAUUCAUUCUUCACCUCUCAUUCCCCUUAUUUUAGAGAUUAAAAAAAAAAAAAACUGGGACUCAGAAACCUGACUGAUUUACUUAUGGUCACUGUAACAUCUGGGCUAGCUUUCUGAGGGUCCUCUGGAUGGGUCUUGGUCUCAGCAAAAUAAUCAUAGUCUAAAGUCUUUAUUGUCUCUUCCAUAGUCUGUCUCCUUCAUAGUCUGUUCAUUCUGACUUGACUAUGUCCCUGGUUCUCUCAGCCCUUAAUAUCCUAUUACAACUACAUCAUUACAGCACACUGAGUAUAUGACAACUAGAGUGAUUAUAUCAUUAUGUCAUAUUAGAUAUAUGUGAACUAGAGAACCAUUAUCUCAUCAAUUCCACUGAGUUAACACCUUGUUGUAAAUAUCCUUGUUUCAAGUAUACUUUCUUCUGGCCCUUUGCAGUCACAGUGAUAAUAAUAAUAAUAACUAACAUUUAUAACACCUUGUAUAUGCCAGUUUACUCUAUGUACUUUAUAAGUAUUAUCUCAUUUCAUCCUCACAACCACCCUGGGAGGUAGGUGCUAUUAUUUUUCUUGGUAGAGCUAGUAAUUGAAGCUAGAGGUCUUUGGACCAUUCUUCUGCUACAGCAAACUUUCUCCUGAUCACAAAGAUCUGAUUCCUCUGCAUCUAAGCUUAGGAGGCCUCUUUAUGCUAUGUCUUCCCUUUGCUUGAUUACUUGAUACUUGAUCCACUGAUUCUCUAAACAAGUUUGUGAGAUGGGAUCAGGACCUCUCAGGAUUCCUUGAAUGAAUGGCUUUAGCCUGGAGAAUUUCUAUAAGCCAGUUACAAUCAUACUAGUCACAAAAGAGGUUGAUGAUAAGCCUCUAUAGUAGAUUACCAGUAAUCUUCCCAAGACAGACCCUUUUUGAAGAGUUCCUAGAGGAAUUCUAGCAAACUUGUGACAAAAUUCCUCCAAAAUGAAACUGACAUCUGGUGGAACAGUCAGUUCUGGUGGAAAUAAAUGGGGUCAGCUUGUUUUAGUUACUUAGUCAAUACUAGCCUGGAACAAGAUUUUUUUUUUUUUUUUUAAGUUUGUGAAAGACUCUUGGUCAACCCGCUCCAGAAUGAACUCCUGUAGGAUAGGUCAGACAAAGCUGACUCAGCACAUCCAUGGACCAAAAGCCAUCUUUGGCCAUUCAAAAGUAAAUGAAUGGUUGAAAAACCAGUGUCUAAAAAAUAAGAUUUGAAAUUAUAUAUGUUUUCUAUAAAGGACAAAGCAUACCCACCAAAAGUUGUUAAAAUGUAUUUUCCUGAAGUCUUGCCAAUUUUGUAAAAAUAAAAAAAUUAAAAUUAAAAAGGAGGAAGAGGAAGAAAACUGUCAUAUCUAUAUCAACCAUGGUAGUUACCACAGAUUGUUAUUAUUUGUCCUUCAUUUUCAAAGAAGACCAAUUACAUGGUGUCUUGACUUACAAGUGAAGUGAAUUUAAAUGAGACAGAAUCUCAUUGUGCAAAGUUAGCAAACUCACUGUUCUUCAGAGUCACUGGAGUCCAGUGGCAAGACAUGGGUCAAGACAGCUGGCAUUGGCUGUAGGUACCACAGAGAAGUUAACAGUGGAAGAACAACAUUAUACCAGAAGUCCACUAGAGAUAAAAUUUAAGAACAGUGGCAGUCAUAAAACACAUAAUCUCAGUAUCUAUUAUAUGAAAUUUCAUAAAGUAGCAAUCAAGGGCAACCAAAUAUCUUAAAGACAUUCUUGAAUUCAUAGGUAUCACUAAGAUUUGGAGAGAUAUUCUGAAAUCCAGGAACCAGAAAGAGGAAGAUGACAAACAUUUGGCUGAGGAUCAGUGGAGAAAGAAAUAGAAGCAAUAUUGCCUUUGGAGUUCACAAAAGACUACCUGGACAAGAAAAAAAAAUCUAUAAGGAAUUUGAACAAACCGAGUGAAAAAAGCCCAAGGAUUGGGGCCAGAAGGCCUAGCACCAAAUCUUAGGGCUACUAUCCAUGAGAAUCUAGCCAAGUAGCAUAACCAUCCUGGAAAAUUUUUUUCCUCACAUACUAAAUGAGGGGCUAGAUGUCUUUGAGACUCCUCCAGUUUUAAAUCUAUACAAUUAUGAAAAGAUCUGGUGGAUUGUAGAGGAAGAAGAGACUUAGAAGAAUAAUGACUUUUUGGCUUCUUCCAGCACUCAAACUAGGAGCAGUGGGUAGAGAUGGCAAAGAUGUACAUUGAGAUGACAUUGAGAAGAACUAACAAUCAGAGCUCUUCAAAAAUAGAAUGGACUGUGCUAAAGAGUAGCUAGGUACUCCUUGGUGGGUUCAUUCAAACAAAGGCUGGAGGACCACUUGUCAGGUAGGUGGUAGAAGAAAGUCAUCAGGAAUGGAUUGGAAUUAAUGAUUGCUAUGGUCUCUUCCAAUUCUGAGGUUCUCUAUGAAAAGACAGAAUUGUCUUAAGAUGUGGAUGUCCAAGGAAUUCAUCAACCAUCUUAGAUUAUUAAAUGGAAAAUGAAAGCAAGGUCAGGAGAUAGAAUAUGAAAACAAAAGUAUGGUACAGUCCUUUAACAAUAGAGUUAGGUUAUGAUCAAUCUGUAAAUUUGUUUUACUUGAUUGCAUUAUUUCUUACAAGGGUUUUUUGUUUUUUGUUUUCUAGUAUGUUGUGUGUGGGGAGGAAAGGAGGAAGGAGGGAAUAAGAAAAAAAAAUAAUUAAAAAAACCAAAAAUGUUAUUAGUGUUAAAACAGAAUGAACUGAGGAAAUCCCUUUGAGGAAAGGGGAACAAGGAAAGAUUAGUGUCCCUGCUCAGAGUGGGUGGAACAAAGAUAGCACAGAAAUGAAAAGGGUAGUACUAAUCUCCUAUUUUACUAGUUUUCUUUGCUAAGGAGAAUGAUCUCUGAAUUAAAAAGGAUAAAAAAAAUGUUUAAAAGGAAAUUGAUAUCUUAGAUAGAAUGGGAGAUGGGGGUGGAGACAAAAUGGCAGAGAGUAGACAGGUCUUUGAGUUCUUCCUGGCUUCUUUAAGAUCAACAUUUGAUCAAGCCUCUGAACUGGAGUGACAAGAGUUUUGGAGUAACAGAACCCACAAAUAUUUGUAGUGUAAUAAAUUUCCAGCAGAAGAUAUUUUGGAAGAACUUUCAGUCAGGCAAUGGAGAGGAGGUGGCCGAGCACAGGUGCAGCUCAAGGAGCCAGGGUGGUAUGACAACCAUGUAUUGGGGAAUCUACCAGAAGGCUCUUAGCCAUAUAGCAGCAUUGAUUACUCUGUCCUGGUUCAGAAGCCAAUGGAUCAGUAGACUAGCUGUGAGAUCUCUAACACAAAUAUAGAAGGCCAACAUGAACCCCUGAACCCAACAUAAUAAGCAGAACUUGGCUCGCCUACCCAGCAUAGGAAGGAAGCCAGCAACACCUUCUCAGGGUAGUGUGAAGUCCCUGCCACAUAUAAAAAAAGCUUGGAACAAUCUCCCCUUUGCUUUAAAAGCAGACCUCAACCUUUAAAAAUGAGCAAACAAGCAAAAACAGCUCUGACCACAGGUAGUUUUUAUGGAGACAGAGAAGGACAGACCUCAAACUCUGAGGACACUAAAGGCAAAUCAUCUCCAGAUGAAGCUUCAAAGGAUAAUACUGUUGGUCUCCAUCUCACAAAGCUCUCUUGGAAGAAUUCAAAAAGGAUCUUUAAAAAGAGAAGAAAAAUGGGGAAAAGAAAUGAGAACUCUGUCGGAGAGUUUAGAAAAAGAAAGAGAAAUUAUUUGAAGAAAACUCCUUUAAAAAUAGAUUUAGCGAAAUGGAAAAAGGACAUAACUCCUUACAAAAUAAAUAUGAUGAAAUGGAAAAAGAAACCAACUCUCUGAAAAACAGAAUUUGUGAAAUUAAAAAAAAAUUAUUGAAAGUACAAUUGGUCAAAUACAAAAGGAGAUUAAAAACGUAAUUGAAGAAAAUAAUUUGUUAAAAAAAAAUUAGAAUCAAACAAAUGGAAGUGAAUCACUCAAUGAGACAUUAAGCAUCAGUCAAACAAAACCAAAAAAAAAAAAAAAAAAGAGAGAGAGAGAAAAUGUAAAAUACCUCAAUGAAAAAACAACUCACCUGGAAAAUAGAUCCAGGAAAGAUAAUCUAAGAAUUAUUUGACUACCUGAUAGUCAUGAUGAAAAAAAGAA